This 30-nucleotide ribosomal RNA is filed under the name Penicillium georgiense. RNAcentral describes it as "partial 28S ribosomal RNA". RNAcentral also lists the same sequence under 1 other name. The record is from RNAcentral. Lineage: Eukaryota; Fungi; Ascomycota; Eurotiomycetes; Eurotiales; Aspergillaceae.
GUAGGGAUACCCGCUGAACUUAAGCAUAUC